This 497-nucleotide ribosomal RNA is filed under the name uncultured bacterium. RNAcentral's name for it is "partial 16S ribosomal RNA". It matches the Rfam family "Bacterial small subunit ribosomal RNA", at positions 28 to 507 of the family's 1533-position model. The record is from RNAcentral.
GAUGAACGCUGGCGGCGUGCCUAAUACAUGCAAGUCGAGCGAACAGACGAGGAGCUUGCUCCUCUGACGUUAGCGGCGGACGGGUGAGUAACACGUGGAUAACCUACCUAUAAGACUGGGAUAACUUAGGGAAACCGGAGCUAAUACCGGAUAAUAUAUUGAACCGCAUGGUUCAAUAGUGAAAGACGGUUUUGCUGUCACUUAUAGAUGGAUCCGCGCCGCAUUAGCUAGUUGGUAAGGUAACGGCUUACCAAGGCGACGAUGCGUAGCCGACCUGAGAGGGUGAUCGGCCACACUGGAACUGAGACACGGUCCAGACUCCUACGGGAGGCAGCAGUAGGGAAUCUUCCGCAAUGGGCGAAAGCCUGACGGAGCAACGCCGCGUGAGUGAUGAAGGUCUUCGGAUCGUAAAACUCUGUUAUUAGGGAAGAACAAAUGUGUAAGUAACUAUGCACGUCUUGACGGUACCUAAUCAGAAAGCCACGGCUAACUACGUG